Molecule: ribosomal RNA, 115 nt
Filed under: Pseudomonas sp.
Lineage: Bacteria; Pseudomonadati; Pseudomonadota; Gammaproteobacteria; Pseudomonadales; Pseudomonadaceae
Also listed under: 55 other names
Source: RNAcentral
GCUGGCGACCAUAGCAAGAGUGAACCACCUGAUCCCUUCCCGAACUCAGAAGUGAAACCUCUUAGCGCUGAUGGUAGUGUGGGGUUUCCCAUGUGAGAGUAAGUCAUCGCCAGCU